Molecule: ribosomal RNA, 509 nt
Filed under: uncultured bacterium
Lineage: Bacteria
Description: bacterial SSU rRNA
Rfam family: Bacterial small subunit ribosomal RNA
Source: RNAcentral
GACGAACGCUGGCGGCGUGCCUAACACAUGCAAGUCGAGCGGAGAUUUCUUUGGCACUGAGUACUCUAGUAAAGACGCAAAGGAAGCGUCAUGAAGAAACAACAUAGAUGUUAAAAACACUGAUAAAAGUUUCUUCAUCACGCGUUUUUAAAGUGCCAACACAAAGAGGGAAGGAUAAGUAGAGUAUUGAGUGCCAAAGAAAUCUUAGCGGCGGACGGGUGAGUAACACGUGGGCAACCUGCCCCUGAGCCCGGGAUAACAGUUCGAAAGGACUGCUAAGACCGGAUAUACUUGCGGGGAAGCAUUUCACUGCAAGGAAAGGGAACGCUCAGGGAUGGGCCCGCGUCCCAUUAGCUAGUUGGUGAGGUAACGGCCCACCAAGGCGACGAUGGGUAGCCGGCCUGAGAGGGUGAACGGCCACACUGGGACUGAGACACGGCCCAGACUCCUACGGGAGGCAGCAGUUGGGAAUCUUCGGCAAUGGGCGCAAGCCUGACCGAGCAACGCCG